RNAcentral lists this long non-coding RNA (5180 nucleotides) under Vitis vinifera (wine grape). RNAcentral's name for it is "long non-coding RNA (VVIN_LNC001458)". Lineage: Eukaryota; Viridiplantae; Streptophyta; Magnoliopsida; Vitales; Vitaceae. The record is from RNAcentral.
UGUAUAUAUAUACCCAAAUCCAAUGUGUAUUCUUCACAGUUUUUCAAUAACAAUAAUUAGGGAUUCUCCCUUUUUCUCUCUCUCUUCACAUGGUAUCAGAGCCAAGGGAGAAAAAAAACCUUAAUUAUUUCCGGUUUAUCCGUGAAUCCAUUCUGGGAAAUCUUUCAGUGACCAUGUUUCAUUCCGGUCACCCUUCCCAUCUCCUAAAGCUUUUCGAUCAACCGUAUCACCGUCAGAAAACCCUCACCACCGACAACUUUUCCAACGACAUCCUUUUCCCACACCGACCAUACCAUCAAGUGCGCAAGGAGGAGAUCUUCAACUUUUCUCAAAGCACCGGAGGAAGAAUCUCAGCCACGCGCCGGCCACGCGCGUCUCUUAUCCGGCGGCCUAAAUCUCACGCGCCGGCACGUGAGGGCGCGUGGGUCACUUUUCGGCCACGCGCUUCCACCUCCAGCCUCGCCUAACACCGUCUAGCCACCCUCCAUCUUUGCUUGUGUCAUUCGAGCCCUGAAAGUGCAUUUUUUUGGGUUUUUUUAUCUCCGCUGGCCCUCUAAACAGCCUUUUCGGCGACCUCCGGUGACUUCCUCUCCACCCCGAGCCCUGCACGUGUCUUAGGAAAUCCGUGAUAAGCCGUAUUAGGGCUCUCUUCGAUCCAAACAUAUUUCAUUCACCAAAUAAGUAGAUAUGGCUACUAAAAGUUCCACUUUUUCCUCUGUCAUAUCUGGAUCUCCUAUGAUCACUUCGGAGAAAUUGGUUGGCAGUGAAAAUUAUUUGUCCUGGUCUGCCUCUGUGGAGCUUUGGUUUAUGGGUCAAGGUUAUGAGGAUCACCUUGUUACGCAGGAGGCGGAUAUCCCUGAGGUUGACAGAGUACAAUGGAGGAAGAUAGAUGCACAGUUAUGUAGUGUGUUAUGGCAAUCAGUUGAUCCUAAGAUUCUGCUUCAUCUUCGGGCCCACAAAACAUGCUUUAAAUUUUGGAAUCAGACGAAAGGGCUAUACACGAAUGAUAUACAACGUCUUUAUAAGGUGGCUUCUUCUAUUGUCAAUGUCAGACAACAAGACAUGGAUUUAUCUACUUAUAUUGGCCAGAUUGCCUCUCUUAAGGAGGAAUUCUUGACCGUGAUGCCUCUUACUACUGAUGUUGGGGAUCAACGAACACAGAUUGACAAGUUUUUCAUGGUUCUUACGCUUAUUGGCCUCCGUCCAGAUCUCGAGACCGUCCGCGAUCAGAUUCUUGGCAGUUCCUCCGUUCCAUCCUUGGAUGAUGUGUUUGCUCGCCUCCUCCGUAUCUCCUCCACUCAGACUUUGCCAUCUAAUAACACUUCAGAUUCUUCUAUGUUAGUUUCUCAAACUAGCUCUUGAAGAGGACGCAGUGGCAACCGACGUAGAGGCCAACGUCCUCAUUGCACCUAUUGCAAUAAGCUUGGCCACACUCGUGAUCGGUGUUAUCAAUUACAUGGGCAACCUCCCCGCACUGCCCACGUGGCCCAGUCAUCUAAUCCUCAGUCGCCUCAGCCUCCCAGUUUCUCCACAUCUCAGGGUAUUUCCCUCACUGACAGUGAGUAUGAUGACUAUCUCCGCUAUCAGGCCACCAAGUCAGCUUCUGUUACUUAUGUUGCCCAGACUGGUAAUGCUUCUACUUGUCUUACCCACCCAUCUUCUCUUGGACCUUGGAUUCUAGAUUCUGGCGCUUCUGAUCACAUAUCUGGUAAUAAGGAUAUUUUCUCUUCUAUUACUACUACCUCUGCCUUACCUACUGUUACUUUAGCUAAUGGUUCCCAAACUAUGGCUAAAGGUUUUGGUUUCACUCAUCCUCUCCCUUCCCGACCUCUCCAUUCUGUCCUUUAUGCCCCUGAGUGUCCUUUUAAUAUUAUUUCCAUCAGCAAAAUAACUCACACUCUUAACUGUUCUAUCACUUUAUCUAAUAAAUUUGUAACCUUGUAGGACCGGAGUACGGGGAAGACGAUUGGCAUAGGACGUGAGUCUCAAGGCCUCUAUCACCUCACCGCGCCUUCAACUCCUGCAGUUUGCAUUUCCACUGAUGCUCCCCUCCUCAUCCACAAUCGCCUGGGCCACCCUAGUCUAUCCAAGUUCCAGAAAAUGGUCCCUAGUUUUUCAUCUUUGUCGUCGCUUGCGUGUGAGUCCUGUCAGCUUGGGAAAUAUACUCGUGUCUCGUUCCCAAAGCAUUUGAAUAAUCGGGCAAAGUCUCCUUUUGAACUUAUCUACAUUGAUGUUUGGGGUCCUUGUCAGACCGCGUCUACUUUAGGAUUUCAGUAUUUUGUCACUUUCAUUGAUGACUAUUUUCGAUGUACUUGGUUAUUUUUAAUGAAAAAUCGAGCUGAGUUAUUCUCUAUUUUUCAGAAAUUUUAUGCUGAAAUCCAAACUCAAUUCAAUAUUUCUAUUCGUGUGUUGCGUAGUGACAAUGCUAGAGAAUAUUUUUCUACACCAUUUACUUCAUUUAUGUCCCAACAUGGGAUCAUUCAUCAGUCUUCUUGUGCUCAUGCUCCUCAACAAAAUGAGGUAGAUAAACGUAAGAAUCGACAUCUUGUUGAGACAGCUCGUACUCUCCUUCUCCAUAGUCAUGUUCCUUUUCGUUUUUAGGGGAACGCUGUUCUUACAGCAUGUUAUUUGAUUAAUCGUAUGCCCUCAUCUGUAUUACACGAUCAGAUUCCUCAUUCCCUUCUUUUCUCUGACCAACCACUUUAUGUCAUUCCUCCUCGUGUUUUUUGUUAUACUUGCUUUGUUCAUAUUCUCACUCCUGGAUAGGACAAACUUUCUGCCAGAGCCACAAAAUGCAUCUUCUUGGGAUAUUCCAGACUUCAAAAGGGUUAUCGUUGUUAUUCCUCUGAGACUCAUCGCUACUUUCUCUCCGCUGAUGUCACUUUCUUUGAGGACUCACCGUUCUUCUCUACCUCUGAGUCUCUUCCUGUUUAUGAAGUCUUACCCCUUCCCAUUAUCUCCCCACCUGAUGCAGUGCCUUCUCGCCCACUUCAGGUUUAUCAUCGUCGUCAUCGUGUCGUUGUUCCUCCUUCUUUGGCCAAGGUACCUAUUGACUCACUUCCUAUCCCUUCGGCUUCUCCUGCCCCGGCUCUGUCUCCUUCUGCUGACUUACCCAUUGCUCUUCGGAAAGGUAAUCGAUCUACUUGUAAUCCUCAUCCCAUUUACAAUUUUUUGAGUUACCAUCGAUUAUCUUCACCCUAUUCUGCAUUUGUUUCUACUAUAUCUUCUGUUUCUCUUCCCAAGAGCACCCCUGAGGCUCUUUCCCAUCCAGGCUGGCGACAGGCAAUGGUAGAUGAAAUGGCUGCUUUACACUCCAAUGGCACUUGGGAUCUUGUUGUUUUACCCUCUGGUAAAUCUACAGUUGGUUGUCGUUGGGUCUACACAGUUAAGGUUGGCCCUGAUGGUCAGGUUGAUCGCCUUAAGGCCCGCUUAGUUGCUAAAGGCUAUACUCAGGUUUAUGGUUCUGAUUAUGGUGACACUUUCUCUCCUGUUGCCAAGAUAGCUUCUGUUCGUCUAUUGCUCUCCAUGGCUGCUAUGCGUUCUUGGCCUCUUUAUCAAUUAGAUAUUAAAAAUGUUUUCCUUCAUGGGCAUCUUGCUGAGGAAGUUUAUAUGGAGCAACCACCUGGUUUUGUUGCUCAAGAGGAGUCUGGUUUAGUGUGCAGGUUACACCAUUCUCUAUAUGGCUUGAAACAAUCUCCUCGAACAUGGUUUAGCCUUUUUAGUUCUGUUGUUUAGGAGUUUGGCAUGUUCCGCAGUACAGCAAACCAUUCUGUUUUCUAUCAUCAUAACUUUUCGGGGCAGUGUAUUUAUCUGGUAGUUUAUGUGGACGACAUCGUCAUUACAGGCAGUGAUCAGAAUGGUAUUCAGAAACUAAAGCAACACCUUUUCACCCACUUUCAGAUCAAAGACUUGGGGAAACUCAAGUAUUUCUUAGGGAUUGAGAUAGCUCAAUCCAGUUUCGAUGUGGUUCUUUCCCAAAGGAAGUAUGCUUUAAACAUCUUGGAAGAAACCGGUAUGUUAGACUGUAAACCGGUAGACACUCCUAUGGAUCCAAAUGUCAAACUUAUACCAGGACAGGGGGAGCCUUUAGGAGAUCCUGGGAGAUAUCGGCGACUUGUAGGUAAACUGAACUACCUCACCAUUACUCGUCCAGACAUUUCUUUUCCUGUAAGUGUUGUUAGUCAAUUCCUACAGUCACCAUGUGAUAGCCAUUGGGAUACUGUAAUCUGCAUUCUUCGAUAUAUCAAAAGCACACUAGGCCAAGGUGUGUUGUACGAGAACAGAGGUCAUACCCAAGUUGUUGGUUACACAGAUGUAGAUUGGGCUGGCUCACCCACAGAUAGACGUUCCACUUCCGAGUAUUGUGUUUUUAUUGGAGGUAACCUAAUAUCUUGGAAGAGUAAGAAACAAGAUGUAGUGGCUAGAUUUAGUGCUGAAGCCGAGUAUCGAGCUAUGGCUCUGGCAACAUGUGAACUCAUAUGGCUGAAACAUUUUCUUCAAGAGUUGAGAUUUGGAAAGGAUGAACAGAUGAAGCUCAUCUAUGACAACCAAGUCGCUUUGCAUAUUGCAUCCAAUCUAGUCUUCCAUGAAAGGACCAAACACAUUGAAGUUGACUGUCACUUCAUUAGAGAGAAGAUCGCAUCAGGAUGUGUGGCGACUAGUUUUGUCAAUUCAAUGAUCAACUAACAGAUAUUUUUACUAAAUCUCUCAGAGGUCCUAGAAUUAAAUACAUUUGUAACAAGCUUGGUGCAUAUAACAUAUAUGCUCCAACUUGAGGGGGAGUGUUAAAUAAUGUAUAGUUAUUUAGGUUAUUUACUUUUACUUUUCCUUUUCCUUUUCUUUCCUUACUGUAUUGUGGGUCCCACUAGCAUGUAUAUAUAUACCCAAGUCCAAUGUGUAUUCUUUACAGUUUUUCAAUAACAAAAAUUAGGGAUUCUCCCUUUUUCUCUCUCUCUUCACAAGAUAAAAACCCUAACCCACCUAUUUGAUUAUAAGUAACCAUCCUAGAGUUACCCAGUCGUUAACUUCAGGGCCCCGUGGGAUUAGUUGAGGUGCGCGUAAGCUAGCCCGGACAUCCACGGUUAUCAAAAAAAAAAAAAAAAAAAAAAGUAACCAUCCUAGAGUUAUCACACAUCAAAGCGAGUCAUUACCAAUGGUAUAAGAGUUGAUACUCGACCCUA